This 108-nucleotide non-coding RNA is filed under the name Callithrix jacchus (white-tufted-ear marmoset). RNAcentral's name for it is "Mitochondrial DNA control region secondary structure A". It matches the Rfam family "Mitochondrial DNA control region secondary structure A". Lineage: Eukaryota; Metazoa; Chordata; Mammalia; Primates; Cebidae. The record is from Rfam by way of RNAcentral.
AUCAUUGAAGGCUUAGCCAUGAAGUACUUUGCAAGUACAUAUAAUAUGAUACCUUUACCCUUGCUAUGUAAUUAGUGCAUUAUUGUUUAUCCCCAUGAAUAAUACACU